ACUAAGCGUACACGGUGGAUGCCCUGGCAGUCAGAGGCGAUGAAGGACGUGCUAAUCUGCGAUAAGCGUCGGUAAGGUGAUAUGAACCGUUAUAACCGGCGAUUUCCGAAUGGGGAAACCCAGUGUGAUUCGUCACACUAUCAUUAACUGAAUCCAUAGGUUAAUGAGGCGAACCGGGGGAACUGAAACAUCUAAGUACCCCGAGGAAAAGAAAUCAACCGAGAUUCCCCCAGUAGCGGCGAGCGAACGGGGAGCAGCCCAGAGCCUGAAUCAGUGUGUGUGUUAGUGGAAGCGUCUGGAAAGGCGCGCGAUACAGGGUGACAGCCCCGUACACAAAAAUGCACAUACUGUGAGCUCGAUGAGUAGGGCGGGACACGUGGUAUCCUGUCUGAAUAUGGGGGGACCAUCCUCCAAGGCUAAAUACUCCUGACUGACCGAUAGUGAACCAGUACCGUGAGGGAAAGGCGAAAAGAACCCCGGCGAGGGGAGUGAAAAAGAACCUGAAACCGUGUACGUACAAGCAGUGGGAGCACAGAGCAAUCUGUGUGACUGCGUACCUUUUGUAUAAUGGGUCAGCGACUUAUAUUCUAUAGCAAGGUUAACCGAAUAGGGGAGCCGAAGGGAAACCGAGUCUUAACUGGGCGUUAAGUUGCAGGGUAUAGACCCGAAACCCGGUGAUCUAGCCAUGGGCAGGUUGAAGGUUGGGUAACACUAACUGGAGGACCGAACCGACUAAUGUUGAAAAAUUAGCGGAUGACUUGUGGCUGGGGGUGAAAGGCCAAUCAAACCGGGAGAUAGCUGGUUCUCCCCGAAAGCUAUUUAGGUAGCGCCUCGUGAAUUCAUCUCCGGGGGUAGAGCACUGUUUCGGCAAGGGGGUCAUCCCGACUUACCAACCCGAUGCAAACUGCGAAUACCGGAGAAUGUUAUCACGGGAGACACACGGCGGGUGCUAACGUCCGUCGUGAAGAGGGAAACAACCCAGACCGCCAGCUAAGGUCCCAAAGUCAUGGUUAAGUGGGAAACGAUGUGGGAAGGCCCAGACAGCCAGGAUGUUGGCUUAGAAGCAGCCAUCAUUUAAAGAAAGCGUAAUAGCUCACUGGUCGAGUCGGCCUGCGCGGAAGAUGUAACGGGGCUAAACCAUGCACCGAAGCUGCGGCAGCGACGCUUAUGCGUUGUUGGGUAGGGGAGCGUUCUGUAAGCCUGUGAAGGUGUACUGUGAGGUAUGCUGGAGGUAUCAGAAGUGCGAAUGCUGACAUAAGUAACGAUAAAGCGGGUGAAAAGCCCGCUCGCCGGAAGACCAAGGGUUCCUGUCCAACGUUAAUCGGGGCAGGGUGAGUCGACCCCUAAGGCGAGGCCGAAAGGCGUAGUCGAUGGGAAACAGGUUAAUAUUCCUGUACUUGGUGUUACUGCGAAGGGGGGACGGAGAAGGCUAUGUUGGCCGGGCGACGGUUGUCCCGGUUUAAGCGUGUAGGCUGGUUUUCCAGGCAAAUCCGGAAAAUCAAGGCUGAGGCGUGAUGACGAGGCACUACGGUGCUGAAGCAACAAAUGCCCUGCUUCCAGGAAAAGCCUCUAAGCAUCAGGUAACAUCAAAUCGUACCCCAAACCGACACAGGUGGUCAGGUAGAGAAUACCAAGGCGCUUGAGAGAACUCGGGUGAAGGAACUAGGCAAAAUGGUGCCGUAACUUCGGGAGAAGGCACGCUGAUAUGUAGGUGAAGUCCCUCGCGGAUGGAGCUGAAAUCAGUCGAAGAUACCAGCUGGCUGCAACUGUUUAUUAAAAACACAGCACUGUGCAAACACGAAAGUGGACGUAUACGGUGUGACGCCUGCCCGGUGCCGGAAGGUUAAUUGAUGGGGUCAGCGCAAGCGAAGCUCUUGAUCGAAGCCCCGGUAAACGGCGGCCGUAACUAUAACGGUCCUAAGGUAGCGAAAUUCCUUGUCGGGUAAGUUCCGACCUGCACGAAUGGCGUAAUGAUGGCCAGGCUGUCUCCACCCGAGACUCAGUGAAAUUGAACUCGCUGUGAAGAUGCAGUGUACCCGCGGCAAGACGGAAAGACCCCGUGAACCUUUACUAUAGCUUGACACUGAACAUUGAGCCUUGAUGUGUAGGAUAGGUGGGAGGCUUUGAAGUGUGGACGCCAGUCUGCAUGGAGCCGACCUUGAAAUACCACCCUUUAAUGUUUGAUGUUCUAACGUGGACCCGUGAUCCGGGUUGCGGACAGUGUCUGGUGGGUAGUUUGACUGGGGCGGUCUCCUCCUAAAGAGUAACGGAGGAGCACGAAGGUUGGCUAAUCCUGGUCGGACAUCAGGAGGUUAGUGCAAUGGCAUAAGCCAGCUUGACUGCGAGCGUGACGGCGCGAGCAGGUGCGAAAGCAGGUCAUAGUGAUCCGGUGGUUCUGAAUGGAAGGGCCAUCGCUCAACGGAUAAAAGGUACUCCGGGGAUAACAGGCUGAUACCGCCCAAGAGUUCAUAUCGACGGCGGUGUUUGGCACCUCGAUGUCGGCUCAUCACAUCCUGGGGCUGAAGUAGGUCCCAAGGGUAUGGCUGUUCGCCAUUUAAAGUGGUACGCGAGCUGGGUUUAGAACGUCGUGAGACAGUUCGGUCCCUAUCUGCCGUGGGCGCUGGAGAAUUGAGGGGGGCUGCUCCUAGUACGAGAGGACCGGAGUGGACGCAUCACUGGUGUUCGGGUUGUCAUGCCAAUGGCACUGCCCGGUAGCUAAAUGCGGAAGAGAUAAGUGCUGAAAGCAUCUAAGCACGAAACUUGCCCCGAGAUGAGUUCUCCCUGACUCCUUGAGAGUCCUGAAGGAACGUUGAAGACGACGACGUUGAUAGGCCGGGUGUGUAAGCGCAGCGAUGCGUUGAGCUAACCGGUACUAAUGAACCGUGAGGCUUAACC
This 2895-nucleotide ribosomal RNA is filed under the name Escherichia coli O27:H7. RNAcentral's name for it is "bacterial LSU rRNA". It matches the Rfam family "Bacterial large subunit ribosomal RNA". Lineage: Bacteria; Pseudomonadati; Pseudomonadota; Gammaproteobacteria; Enterobacterales; Enterobacteriaceae. The record is from RNAcentral.